Molecule: ribosomal RNA, 333 nt
Filed under: Photobacterium phosphoreum
Lineage: Bacteria; Pseudomonadati; Pseudomonadota; Gammaproteobacteria; Vibrionales; Vibrionaceae
Description: bacterial SSU rRNA
Rfam family: Bacterial small subunit ribosomal RNA
Source: RNAcentral
UUAAUUGAAGAGUUUGAUCAUGGCUCAGAUUGAACGCUGGCGGCAGGCCUAACACAUGCAAGUCGAGCGGUAACAGAAAGAAAGCUUGCUUUCUUUGCUGACGAGCGGCGGACGGGUGAGUAAUGCCUGGGAAUAUACCCUGAUGUGGGGGAUAACUAUUGGAAACGAUAGCUAAUACCGCAUAAUCUCUUGUCUUUUACGAGAUGGGAGCAAAGAGGGGGACCUUCGGGCCUCUCGCGUCAGGAUUAGCCCAGGUGGGAUUAGCUAGUUGGUGGGGUAAUGGCUCACCAAGGCGACGAUCCCUAGCUGGUCUGAGAGGAUGAUCAGCCACAC